AUUGAACGCUGGCGGAAUGCUUUACACAUGCAAGUCGAACGGUAGAGGGGGCAACCCCUCGAGAGUGGCGAACGGGUGAGUAAUAUAUCGGAACGUGCCCAGUCGUGGGGGAUAACGUAGCGAAAGUUACGCUAAUACCGCAUACGAUCUAAGGAUGAAAGCGGGGGAUCGCAAGACCUCGCGCGAUUGGAGCGGCCGAUACCAGAUUAGGUAGUUGGUGGGGUAAAGGCUCACCAAGCCAACGAUCUGUAGCUGGUCUGAGAGGACGACCAGCCACACUGGAACUGAGACACGGUCCAGACUCCUACGGGAGGCAGCAGUGGGGAAUUUUGGACAAUGGACGCUAGUCUGAUCCAGCCAUUCCGCGUGCAGGAUGAAGGCCCUCGGGUUGUAAACUGCUUUUGUACGGAACGAAAAGGUCUCUCUUAAUACGGGGGGCUCACGACGGUACCGUAAGAAUAAGCACCGGCUAACUACGUGCCAGCCGCCGCAGUAA
Molecule: ribosomal RNA, 496 nt
Filed under: uncultured bacterium
Lineage: Bacteria
Description: partial 16S ribosomal RNA
Rfam family: Bacterial small subunit ribosomal RNA
Source: RNAcentral